GGAUCGGAGGGGCUUGCUUCUUUGGUUAGUGGCGAACGGGUGAGAAACACGCGAGUAACCUGCCCUUCACUCUGGGAUAACUCCGGGAAACCGGGGCUAAUACUGGAUAUGACCUGCUCGGGCAUCCGAUGUGGGUGGAAAGAUUUAUUGGUGGGGGAUGGACUCGCGGCCUAUCAGCUUGUUGGUGAGGUAAUGGCUUACCAAGGCGACGACGGGUAGCCGGCCUGAGAGGGCGAUCGGCCACACUGGGACUGAGACACGGCCCAGACUCCUACGGGAGGCAGCAGUGGGGAAUAUUGCACAAUGGGCGAAAGCCUGAUGCAGCGACGCCGCGUGAGGGAUGAAGGCCUUCGGGUUGUAAACCUCUUUCAGCAGGGAAGAAGUGGCCGGGUUUUCUCGGUUGUGACGGUACCUGCAGAAGAAGCACCGGCUAACUACGUGCCAGCAGCCGCGGUAAUACGUAGGGUGCGAGCGUUGUCCGGAAUUAUUGGGCGUAAAGAGCUUGUAGGCGGUUUGUCGCGUCUGCUGUGAAAUUUCGGGGCUCAACCCCGAACUUGCAGUGGGUACGGGCAGACUAGAGUGUGGUAGGGGAGACUGGAAUUCCUGGUGUAGCGGUGAAAUGCGCAGAUAUCAGGAGGAACACCGAUGGCGAAGGCAGGUCUCUGGGCCACUACUGACGCUGAGAAGCGAAAGCAUGGGGAGCGAACAGGAUUAGAUACCCUGGUAGUCCAUGCCGUAAACGUUGGGAACUAGGUGUGGGUCUCAUUCCACGAGGUCCGUGCCGCAGCUAACGC
This 794-nucleotide ribosomal RNA is filed under the name uncultured Intrasporangiaceae bacterium. Its description in RNAcentral is "bacterial SSU rRNA". It matches the Rfam family "Bacterial small subunit ribosomal RNA", at positions 68 to 858 of the family's 1533-position model. Lineage: Bacteria; Bacillati; Actinomycetota; Actinomycetes; Micrococcales; Intrasporangiaceae. The record is from RNAcentral.